GCGGGCGUGGCGGAACUGGCAGACGCGCAGGACUUAGGUUCCUGUUCCCCCGAGGAGUGAGGGUUCGAGUCCCUCCGCCCGCACCA
This 86-nucleotide transfer RNA is filed under the name Actinomycetota bacterium. RNAcentral describes it as "tRNA-Leu". It matches the Rfam family "tRNA". Rfam says of the family: Transfer RNA (tRNA) molecules are approximately 80 nucleotides in length. Their secondary structure includes four short double-helical elements and three loops (D, anti-codon, and T loops). The record is from RNAcentral. Lineage: Bacteria; Bacillati; Actinomycetota.